Molecule: ribosomal RNA, 744 nt
Filed under: Streptomyces sp. K30(2011)
Lineage: Bacteria; Bacillati; Actinomycetota; Actinomycetes; Kitasatosporales; Streptomycetaceae
Description: bacterial SSU rRNA
Rfam family: Bacterial small subunit ribosomal RNA
Source: RNAcentral
GAUGAUACUUCUUCCCGCAUGGGGGGAGGUUGAAAGCUCCGGCGGUGCAGGAUGAGCCCGCGGCCUAUCAGCUUGUUGGUGGGGUGAUGGCCUACCAAGGCGACGACGGGUAGCCGGCCUGAGAGGGCGACCGGCCACACUGGGACUGAGACACGGCCCAGACUCCUACGGGAGGCAGCAGUGGGGAAUAUUGCACAAUGGGCGAAAGCCUGAUGCAGCGACGCCGCGUGAGGGAUGACGGCCUUCGGGUUGUAAACCUCUUUCAGCAGGGAAGAAGCGAAAGUGACGGUACCUGCAGAAGAAGCGCCGGCUAACUACGUGCCAGCAGCCGCGGUAAUACGUAGGGCGCAAGCGUUGUCCGGAAUUAUUGGGCGUAAAGAGCUCGUAGGCGGCUUGUCACGUCGGAUGUGAAAGCCCGGGGCUUAACCCCGGGUCUGCAUUCGAUACGGGCAGGCUAGAGUGUGGUAGGGGAGAUCGGAAUUCCUGGUGUAGCGGUGAAAUGCGCAGAUAUCAGGAGGAACACCGGUGGCGAAGGCGGAUCUCUGGGCCAUUACUGACGCUGAGGAGCGAAAGCGUGGGGAGCGAACAGGAUUAGAUACCCUGGUAGUCCACGCCGUAAACGUUGGGAACUAGGUGUUGGCGACAUUCCACGUCGUCUGUGCCGCAGCUAACGCAUAAGUUCCCCGCCUGGGGAGUACGGCCGCAAGGCUAAAACUCAAGGAAUUGACGGGGGCCCGCACAAGC